Molecule: ribosomal RNA, 228 nt
Filed under: uncultured bacterium
Lineage: Bacteria
Description: partial 16S ribosomal RNA
Rfam family: Bacterial small subunit ribosomal RNA
Source: RNAcentral
CGGGUGAGUAAUGUCUGGGAAACUGCCCGAUGGAGGGGGAUAACUACUGGAAACGGUAGCUAAUACCGCAUAACGUCGCAAGACCAAAGAGGAGGACCUUAGGGCCUCUUGCCAUCGGAUGUGCCCAGAUGGGAUUAGCUAGUAGGUGGGGUAAUGGCUCACCUAGGCGACGAUCCCUAGCUGGUCUGAGAGGAUGACCAGCCACACUGGAACUGAGACACGGUCCAG